RNAcentral lists this ribosomal RNA (500 nucleotides) under uncultured bacterium. Its description in RNAcentral is "partial 16S ribosomal RNA". It matches the Rfam family "Bacterial small subunit ribosomal RNA", at positions 30 to 523 of the family's 1533-position model. The record is from RNAcentral.
AUUGAACGCUGGCGGAAUGCUUUACACAUGCAAGUCGAACGGCAGCACGGACUUCGGUCUGGUGGCGAGUGGCGCACGGGUGAGUAAUGUAUCGGAACGUGCCCAGUCGGGGGGGAUAACGUAGUGAAAAUUACGCUAAUACCGCAUACGAACUAUGGAUGAAAGCGGGGGAUCGCAAGACCUUGACCGGGUGGAGCGGCCGAUAGCAGAUUAGGUAGUUGGUGGGGUAAAGGCCCACCAAGCCAACGAUCUGUAGCUGGUCUGAGAGGACGACCAGCCACACUGGAACUGAGACACGGUCCAGACUCCUACGGGAGGCAGCAGUGGGGAAUUUUGGACAAUGGGCGAAAGCCUGAUCCAGCCAUUCCGCGUGCGGGAUGAAGGCCCUCGGGUUGUAAACUGCUUUUGUACAGAACGAAAAGGUUUCUACUAAUACUAGGAGCUCAUGACGGUACUGUAAGAAUAAGCACCGGCUAACUACGUGCCAGCCGCCGCGGUAA